Molecule: RNase P RNA, 389 nt
Filed under: Alphaproteobacteria bacterium
Lineage: Bacteria; Pseudomonadati; Pseudomonadota; Alphaproteobacteria
Description: RNase P RNA component class A
Rfam family: Bacterial RNase P class A
About the family: Ribonuclease P (RNase P) is a ubiquitous endoribonuclease, found in archaea, bacteria and eukarya as well as chloroplasts and mitochondria.
Source: RNAcentral
CCAGACGGUCGGAUGGCCGCGCGCGGGCAAUGGGGAAACCCGUCCGCGCGAGGAAAGUCCGGGCUCCACGGAAGCACGGUGCCGGUUAACGGCCGGCGGGGGCGACCCCAGGGAAAGUGCCACAGAAAGGAAACCGCCCGCCUCGGCCCCUCGGGGCCAUGCGGGUAAGGGUGAAAGGGUGGGGUAAGAGCCCACCGCGGGCCCGGCGACGGGACCGGUACGGCAAACCCCACCGGGAGCAAGACCGAAUAGGGACGGCACAUGGCGCGCUUCCGCGCUGUCGUCCGGGUGGGUCGCGCGAGGCGUCCGGCAACGGGCGUCCCAGAGGAAUGGCCAUCCGCGUGCCUCCGGCACGUCGACAGAACCCGGCUUACAGACCGUCUGGCCCA